CUCGUGUCGUGAGAUGUUCGGGGUUAAAGUCCCCGGCAAACGGAGCGGCAACCCCUACGUUUAGUUGCUAACGCGUGAAGGCGAGCACUCUAGACGAACUGCCGUUGACAAACGGAGGAAGGUGGGAUGACGUCAAAUCAUCAUGCCCCUUAUGUUCUGGGCUACACACGUGCUACAAUGGCCGGUACAGACGGACGCAAAGCCGCGAGGUGGAGCAAAUCCUAAAAAGCCCGGUCUCAGUUCGGAUUGCAGGCUGCAAUUCGCCUGCAUGAAGUCGGAAUCGCUAGUAAUCGCAGGUCAGCAUACUGCGGUGAAUACGUUCCCGGGCCUU
Molecule: ribosomal RNA, 331 nt
Filed under: uncultured Bacillus sp.
Lineage: Bacteria; Bacillati; Bacillota; Bacilli; Caryophanales; Bacillaceae
Description: bacterial SSU rRNA
Rfam family: Bacterial small subunit ribosomal RNA
Source: RNAcentral